This 253-nucleotide ribosomal RNA is filed under the name uncultured bacterium. Its description in RNAcentral is "partial 16S ribosomal RNA". It matches the Rfam family "Bacterial small subunit ribosomal RNA", at positions 524 to 776 of the family's 1533-position model. The record is from RNAcentral.
UACGGGGGGGGCAAGCGUUGUUCGGAAUUACUGGGCGUAAAGGGCUCGUAGGUGGCCAACUAAGUCGGACGUGAAAUCCCUCGGCUUAACCGGGGAACUGCGUCUGAUACUGGAUGGCUUGAGUUCGGGAGAGGGAUGCGGAAUUCCAGGUGUAGCGGUGAAAUGCGUAGAUAUCGUAAGGAAGACCAGUGGCGAAGGCGGGUCUCUGGACAGUUCCUGACGCUGAGGCACGAAGGCCAGGGGAGCAAACGGG